Molecule: ribosomal RNA, 252 nt
Filed under: uncultured bacterium
Lineage: Bacteria
Description: partial 16S ribosomal RNA
Rfam family: Bacterial small subunit ribosomal RNA
Source: RNAcentral
UACGGGGGGGCAAGCGUUGUUCGGAAUUACUGGGCGUAAAGGGCUCGUAGGCGGCCAACUAAGUCAGACGUGAAAUCCCUCGGCUUAACCGGGGAACUGCGUCUGAUACUGGAUGGCUUGAAUCCGGGAGAGGGAUGCGGAAUUCCAGGUGUAGCGGUGAAAUGCGUAGAUAUCUGGAGGAACACCGGUGGCGAAGGCGGCAUCCUGGACCAAUUCUGACGCUGAGGAGCGAAAGCCAGGGGAGCAAACGGG